RNAcentral lists this small nuclear RNA (116 nucleotides) under Salvator merianae (Argentine black and white tegu). RNAcentral's name for it is "U1 spliceosomal RNA (ENSSMRG00000006027.1)". It matches the Rfam family "U1 spliceosomal RNA". From Rfam's summary of the family: U1 is a small nuclear RNA (snRNA) component of the spliceosome (involved in pre-mRNA splicing). Its 5' end forms complementary base pairs with the 5' splice junction, thus defining the 5' donor site of an intron. Lineage: Eukaryota; Metazoa; Chordata; Lepidosauria; Squamata; Teiidae. The record is from RNAcentral.
UUACUUACCUGGCAGGGGAGACACCUUGAUCCCAAAAGAGGUUUUCCCAGGGUGAGGUACAGCCACUGCACUCCAGCCNCGCUGACCCCUGCACAGGAGACUGUGUGUGUGCUUUC